Molecule: ribosomal RNA, 396 nt
Filed under: uncultured Glomeromycotina
Lineage: Eukaryota; Fungi; Glomeromycota
Description: SSU rRNA
Rfam family: Eukaryotic small subunit ribosomal RNA
Source: RNAcentral
AGCAGCCGCGGUAAUUCCAGCUCCAAUAGCGUAUAUUAAAGUUGUUGCAGUUAAAAAGCUCGUAGUUGAAUUUCGGGAUCAAUAUGCCGGUCAUGCCUUGGUAUGCACUGGUAUCUUUGAUUUCUCCCUUCUGACGAACUUUGAUGUCAUUAAUUUGGUGUCAUAGGGAAUUAGAACUGUUACUUUGAAAAAAUUAGAGUGUUUAAAGCAGGCUCACGCUUGAAUGCAUUAGCAUGGAAUAAUGAAAUAGGACGUUUGAUUCUAUUUUGUUGGUUUCUAGGAUCGACGUAAUGAUUAAUAGGGAUAGUUGGGGGCAUUAGUAUUCAAUUGUCAGAGGUGAAAUUCUUGGAUUUAUUGAAGACUAACUACUGCGAAAGCAUUUGCCAAGGAUGUUUU